UACGGAGGGUGCAAGCGUUAUCCGGAUUCACUGGGUUUAAAGGGUGCGUAGGUGGGCAGGUAAGUCAGUGGUGAAAUCUCCGGGCUUAACUCGGAAACUGCCAUUGAUACUAUCUGUCUUGAAUACCGUGGAGGUCAGCGGAAUAUGUCAUGUAGCGGUGAAAUGCUUAGAUAUGACAUAGAACACCGAUAGCGAAGGCAGCUUGCUACACGUGUAUUGACACUGAGGCACGAAAGCGUGGGGAUCAAACAGG
RNAcentral lists this ribosomal RNA (253 nucleotides) under uncultured bacterium. Its description in RNAcentral is "partial 16S ribosomal RNA". It matches the Rfam family "Bacterial small subunit ribosomal RNA", at positions 524 to 776 of the family's 1533-position model. The record is from RNAcentral.